GACAAGAAGACCCUAAGAAUUUUAAAAACUGUAAUUGUAAAACUAUUAAUUAUAGUUUUUUGAUUGGGGCGAUUGAUAAAUAUAGAAAACUUUAUUAUAAAAAAAAAUGAACCAGUAUUACUGGUUUAAUGAAUAAAAAUACUCUAGGGAUAACAGCGUAAUAAUUUUUAAUAGCUCUUAUUGACAAAAUAGUUUGCGACC
RNAcentral lists this ribosomal RNA (201 nucleotides) under Amblyomma ovale. RNAcentral describes it as "partial large subunit ribosomal RNA". Lineage: Eukaryota; Metazoa; Arthropoda; Arachnida; Ixodida; Ixodidae. The record is from RNAcentral.